CUUUACCAUGUUACCAAGCUGGUUUAACCACAGAGAGUUACAAACACUUCUUACUGAUUUACUUUGGAGCUAAGUACAAAUCUCUUAUUUCCCCCUGGACCGAUUUAUUUCCUCAUUCUAACUGAGGGAACCAAGGUCCAUCCAUUAGACAUGGUCAGCCACGCCAAAGAGCGCCGCUUGCGCCAGUGCGCGUGGUGAUCAUGGCUGCAGGCAUGGUCUCGCUUGUUCGGGCCACUAUGCUCGUCUCCUCCCUCCUUGUUUCGACCUCCAUUCAUGUCUAGUAGCUCCCCCGUGAUGCCCUGAGUCACCCUGCAUCGCUGCCUCGUCGUGGUUCGACUUAAAUGAGCCGCAAAGGCCAUGCCCGUGCCACAAACCGGCUCUGUUCUCCAUUGUUUGAAGUUGGAGCUCGCCUGUGAGCUCGAGAAGCCUCCCCGUGGCUAUAUAAGGCAUGCCCGAGGUCCCCUGCUCCUCAUCGCUCCCUCCCUCGCCUAAUUUUCUCUCUGGAAUCGCCCCACCUCGCCUCGGAUCACCUCCGUCCGCCAUGGCCGCCUCGGUUCCUCCUUGGUUCCGGCGAGCCUAGUCCACCUCUCCUCCUCUAGCCACCUCCUGAGCGUUCCCCUCCUUCCCGCGGUCCUCCCCACCCUGCCAGUUCGUCGCCGGAGUCCCUCUGGCCGUGCCUCCCGGCGCUUGGCCGUCGCCGUUGCUCUCGGCCACCACCCCGACCGUGUCCAUCCGAGCCUCCUCUCUCCCUCCCGACUCCACCACCGGCCUCCCCGUGCUCCGCUGAGUCGUCCCAUCCACUUGUCCCUCGCCGGAGCUGCCCACAUCGCCAAAGACCACCGCCGCCCUCUACCUCCCCUCGGUCCUCCUCCGCCCCGCGUCCUCCUCUCCCCCCAGGGCCGGCCCCGGCCGACCCCCUGGACGGACGCGCCACGCCGGGCCGCGCCAGCCGGUGCCCGCGCCCUGGCCGGAUAUGGCCUGGACCGGCCGCCCCAGCGCCGCCCCCUCCCCUGUUUCCUCUCCUCUGCUCACGGGAGCACAAGAGCGAGAGGAGGAAGACGACACCUUGCCAGCUGGCCAGGCGGGCCCCCCUCUCCAACGGACCCCACCUGGAUCUGUUUGCUGAAGUUUCUUCACAGAUUGGUCCUUCUUCUUCCAACCUUCACAACUUUUCAACCGUAACUCCGAUCGAGCCUUUCGAGAGAAAACCGUCCGACGUUUUGUUUCGCGGCUUCACCAGUCUCCGUCACCCCAGG
Molecule: long non-coding RNA, 1256 nt
Organism: Triticum aestivum (bread wheat)
Lineage: Eukaryota; Viridiplantae; Streptophyta; Magnoliopsida; Poales; Poaceae
Exons: 3
Source: RefSeq, a predicted model, not a curated record